This 347-nucleotide ribosomal RNA is filed under the name uncultured Thermus sp. RNAcentral's name for it is "bacterial SSU rRNA". It matches the Rfam family "Bacterial small subunit ribosomal RNA", at positions 1035 to 1382 of the family's 1533-position model. The record is from RNAcentral. Lineage: Bacteria; Thermotogati; Deinococcota; Deinococci; Thermales; Thermaceae.
CAGGUGCUGCAUGGCCGUCGUCAGCUCGUGCCGUGAGGUGUUGGGUUAAGUCCCGCAACGAGCGCAACCCCGCCGUUAGUUGCCAGCGGUUCGGCCGGGCGACGUCUAACGGGACUGCCCGCGAAAGCGGGAGGAAGAGGGGACGACGUCUGGUCAGCAUGGCCCUUACGGCCUGGGCGACACACGUGCUACAAUGCCCACUACAAAGCGAGGCCACCCGGCAACGGGGAGCUAAUCGCAAAAAGGUGGGCCCAGUUCGGAUUGGGGUCUGCAACCCGACCCCAUGAAGCCGGAAUCGCUAGUAAUCGCGGAUCAGCCAUGCCGCGGUGAAUACGUUCCCGGGCCUU